AUGUAUUUACAAGCUGGCCACCUCCACAGAUCAAUGAAUAUUUUUUAUCGUUCAACGGCGCAAGGUCUGUUUGAUUCCUUCAGCCUGAUGCUAUCGAAUACUUCUUAAUAUUUGAGUCAGAAGGAGAAAAUUGGAUUUAACAUUACGAGUGUAUUGGACAUGCUUGAAGUUGCAUUAGAUUCAUGUAAAUAAGGAGAUAUUCUAGAUUUUAUUGUCAAUGCUUUAAUAAGGAGAGAUAAAAUCUUACAUGUUAUUUGUAUAAUUCAGCAGUUAAUGAGCUUGAACACAGAAAUAAGUAAGGGGUCCUUUCAACUGUAGAAAAAGAUUUUUGCAAGAAGGACAUCGGAGAUAUGAUGAACUACUUGGAAGAGUGAAGGUAUUUAUCCAUGCUGCGUCUUUGCAAUUG
Molecule: long non-coding RNA, 406 nt
Filed under: Triticum aestivum (bread wheat)
Lineage: Eukaryota; Viridiplantae; Streptophyta; Magnoliopsida; Poales; Poaceae
Description: long non-coding RNA (TAES_LNC007618)
Source: RNAcentral